Lonchura striata (white-rumped munia) is the source of this 564-nucleotide non-coding RNA. The record is from RefSeq and is a predicted model, not a curated record. Lineage: Eukaryota; Metazoa; Chordata; Aves; Passeriformes; Estrildidae.
GGAGGACUGAUGUAAUUGUCUUUUCUUUUAACUAUUUCUGAGGAAUGGAUCCUGGUCUGCUCUCCUGUGGAAAGGAGAGCAUACCUUCAUAAAGGUAUAAUGCAGCUAAAUACCUGGAUACUAAUUAAGGAUUGAUAUAUAAACUCAAGAGAGAAAAUGUACCUAGAUGAGUUUGCCCCUGACACCUAAAUAAGAAGUUUGACAACAAAAGCUGUGGACAGCUAAGUACAUCUGGAAGGUGUGGAAGAGGAGGAGGAGGAGACAGUCUGUCACAAGCGGGAUUCUGCAAAAGAAGAGACUGUAAGGAAAAGUGAGCAGUGAUGAUGUGAGCAUCCUUGAGCUGCAGAAGAUACGAAAAAAGAGUCCUCUGACAGGAAACCACUUGCUGGCAGAUACAGAGAGGAGGAGAUCUGCUGGAGAGCUCUUCCACGGACUUUAGAAUAAUGCUGACCUCUGGAUGACAAUUAGACAUCCAACAUGCGUUGCUGCUGAUUUGCUGUUUCUUCUGCAUAACCUGAAAAUGUAGUGGUAUUUACUGAAAUAAAAGUAAAUAUUUUCUCUGUC